This 285-nucleotide long non-coding RNA is filed under the name Carica papaya (papaya). Its description in RNAcentral is "long non-coding RNA (CPAP_LNC004523)". Lineage: Eukaryota; Viridiplantae; Streptophyta; Magnoliopsida; Brassicales; Caricaceae. The record is from RNAcentral.
CUAUUGUUGGAGAAGAGAGCUUUGUUAAACUCAAACUUACGGCAAAUUUACUGCGGCAGCAAGGAAAAAUAUAGCAGACAAGAAAUGAAUGCAGUAGAAAAAUAAAAAUAUUAAUCAAAACAUUUUAUGGGUAUGAAUUGCUGUUGGAAUUUUAGUUCUUAGCAUCAACUCAUGAAGGAAACUAAAUCUCUGUUACAAACUUCCAAGUUUAUGGGAUCAAUUCAUAGAAGAAACUAAAGCUCAGCUCAUAAAGGAAACUAAACAUAUAGCAUUUAACAACUUUUA